Gasterosteus aculeatus aculeatus (three-spined stickleback) is the source of this 1349-nucleotide long non-coding RNA. NCBI's taxonomy places the organism in Eukaryota, Metazoa, Chordata, Actinopteri, Perciformes, Gasterosteidae. The record is from Ensembl.
GAUUGGUUAGAAUGGGGCAGCAGUAGGAGAACAUUUUACUAAAGUAAACGCAGAAUACAAAUGCUCUGUUGAACUAGUUGAACUACUUCAGUAAGAGUUAUCAAAACAAGUAGCUGCAAACUUAAACAUAUGUCAACUAAAUUAGACCCUGAGCCUUCAGUUAUCAAGCUCCUCUUUUGUGGAACCGGCUUCACUUUGAGUCCAGGGAGCAGAUACAGUCAGCUCAUUUAAGAUAAAGCUUGAGACUUUCCUCUUUGGUAUCACUUAUAUUGAAAGCUGCCUCAGGUUAGCCUGGACCAGCCCUUAGGUUCUAUCUGGAUCCUGGUCCUGGAUCCGGACAUGGCCCUGCUGACACCUGCUGCUGCUAUCAUUAUUAUUAGUCACAUUACUAUUACGGUCAUCAUAAACCACCGUUACUUACUUUGUUUCUUUCCUGAACUCUUUGUGUGCUUUCGGUUAUAUCUGAUGGCAGUUACAUCUAAUCUUUAUUAGGUUAUAUUUGAUGGCGGUUAUAUUUGAUGAUGGUUAUAUCUGAUAAUGGUUAUAAUCUGAUGGUGGUUACAUUUGAUGAUGGUGACAUCUGAUGGUGGUUACAUCUGAUAAUGGUUAUAUCUGAUGGUGGUUACAUUUGAUGAUGGUUACAUCUGAUGAUGGUUAUAUCUGAUGGUGGUUACAUCUGAUGGUGGUUACAUCUGAUGGUGGUUAUAUCUGAUGAUGGUUACAUCUGAUAAUGGUUACAUCGGAUAAUGUUAUAUCUGAUGAUGGUUAUAUCUGAUAAUGGUUAUAUUUUAUGGUGGUUACAUCUGAUGGUAGUUACAUCUGAUGGUAGUUACAUUUUAUGAUGGUUACAUCUGAUGAUGGUUAUAUCUGAUGGUGGUUAUAUCUGAUGAUGGUUACAUCUGAUGAUGGUUAUAUCUGAUGGUGGUUAUAUCUGAUGAUGGUUAUAUCGGAUAAUGGUUAUAUCUUAUGGUGGUUACAUCUGAUGGUGGUUACAUCUGAUGGUGGUUACAUCUGAUGGUGGUUGCAUCUGAUGGUGGUUAUAUUUGAUGGUGGUUGUAAUUCAUGGUGGUUGUAUCUGAUGGUUGUUGUUCCGGCAGUCGUCCUUCCUUAUAACUGGUUUACUACUCUGAAUAUUUUAAUCAUUUCUCAUUGUAUGAAAUGAAAGUACUGUACAUAUUUUACAUUGUUCAUUCUUUACACAUGACACCCUUUGCAUACUCUCCAUCCCAGGAAAAGGAUCUUCUCCCGUUGGGUUUCCGGACAAGGGAUGUUACAUGCGUAUAGACUGUAAAGCUGAGGCAAAUUUGUCAUUUGUGAUUUUGGGCGAUAUGAAAUAAAAUAAAUUAAAG